ACCAGACUCCUACGGGAGGCAGCAGUGGGGAAUAUUGCACAAUGGGCGAAAGCCUGAUGCAGCAACGCCGCGUGAAGGAAGAAGGGUUUCGGCUCGUAAACUUCUAUCAACAGGGACGAAAGAAAUGACGGUACCUGAAUAAGAAGCCCCGGCUAACUACGCGCCAGCAGCCGCGGUAAUACGUAGGGGGCAAGCGUUAUCCGGAAUUACUGGGUGUAAAGAGUUGCGUAGGUGGCAUAAUAAGUAGCUAGUGAAAGCUGGUGGCUCAACCAUUCAGACUAUUAGCUAAACUGUUAAGCUCGAGACCGUUAGGGGUAACUGGAAUUUCUAGUGUAGGAGUGAAAUCCGUAGAUAUUAGAAAGAACACCAAUAGCGUAGGCAGGUUACUGGGACGGUUCUGACACUAAGGCACGAAAGCGUAGGGAGCAAACGGGAUUAGAUACCCGAGUA
Molecule: ribosomal RNA, 450 nt
Filed under: uncultured bacterium
Lineage: Bacteria
Description: bacterial SSU rRNA
Rfam family: Bacterial small subunit ribosomal RNA
Source: RNAcentral